UGUAAUCCUUUGUCCUUCUGACAAUAGUACUGCACUGGGUAUGGUUCCCUCGUCCCCUUGUUUUUAGUCGGUCACCCUACCUGAAAAAUACUUUUGAUCUUGGGUGGUGUUUUUAUACCCCAAGUUCCCCUACAAUUGACCCAUGUUACAUUUAGCUCCACUUUCCCCUAUUACUUACAGUGAAUUGCGGCGCGUUGAAGCCCUUAAGUCUAAUGCAUCUGUUACUCUAAGUAACACAAUAUAUUUAAAAAAUCCAUCUGUCAGUUUCAGAUGGAGAACUGUUUUUUUUUGCAUUGGCAGCGUCCCAAUCCACCGCAUAUGCCUAUGUCGGCCUUCCGCAUCUGCGUUGAAAGGGGGCUGAGCUACAGCAGUGUUUUCAGACCAUGAGACAUCCCGAAAAUUCGUCUUCUCAAGAAAACGUCUCUAGCGUCCGAAUGGUUUGGCCUACAACCCCCACAAGUGUCACGGGACUCGUCUUAAGCCUCCAGCAUCUCGGAUCACCGCCCAACCACCAGCUCCAAAGGCAAGUGCUUAAUUAGCCAUUUUUGACGACCCUCCCACUCUGUCUGCUGAAUUCUUUCACUUUGCUAUUUUCCUGAAUAGGAUGUCGGUGGGAGGAGCCAGGAGGUCGUCAGCCGUUCAUUGAUGAGACAAUCUCCAUGCAGACACACUUGUGUUUUGGUUGUGGCAUUUUGUGGCUUGUUUAUUUUGGCACCUCAACACCCCUCAUUAUCACCAUCUAAGUACGCAACCACUCACUCACACACCAUUGUUAAUUGUAUAUGUUUUACUUUAGUUAAGGAAUAACACUUUAUCUUCACGUUAUCUCCCUCUUUGUUUUCGGGCGACGAGCUGGUUCGUGACACAUUUUUUAAAAAAAAGUGUAUUUGUCAUCGUUUAACGUUGGAGAGUGCUAAGAUAUUAAUGUAUCAACAUUUAUACAGCCAGGACCAUCGGCAGAGGGGAUUACCCCUUUGGGAAUAAGUAAUCCCACGCUGCAGGCCUGCAGUGGAGAUGGCACCUCCAGCGUAGACAUGGUUAAAGACCUGCCUGUGUUUGGGAGGGAAGUGAUUGCUACCCAUGGAUUAUCUGGAAAUGCCAAUAGAGUGACUUUAGCAAAGCUGACCCUUGAUGAGAGAAAAGUCUAACUGAUAAUUGGUAAGGGAAACAUUUAGCUCCUAAUGCAG
Oncorhynchus tshawytscha (Chinook salmon) is the source of this 1187-nucleotide long non-coding RNA. The record is from Ensembl. NCBI's taxonomy places the organism in Eukaryota, Metazoa, Chordata, Actinopteri, Salmoniformes, Salmonidae.